GAAUAUUGGACAAUGGGCGCAAGCCUGAUCCAGCCAUGCCGCGUGGAUGAUGAAGGCCCUAGGGUUGUAAAGUCCUUUUAACGGGGAAGAUAAUGACGGUACCCGUAGAAUAAGCCCCGGCUAACUUCGUGCCAGCAGCCGCGGUAAUACGAAGGGGGCUAGCGUUGCUCGGAAUUACUGGGCGUAAAGCGCACGUAGGCGGACCGAUAAGUCGGGGGUGAAAUCCUGGAGCUCAACUCCAGAACUGCCUUCGAAACUGCCGGUCUUGAGUUCGGGAGAGGUGAGUGGAACUGCGAGUGUAGAGGUGAAAUUCGUAGAUAUUCGCAAGAACACCAGUGGCGAAGGCGGCUCACUGGCCCGAUACUGACGCUGAGGUGCGAAAGCGUGGGGAGCAAACAGG
Molecule: ribosomal RNA, 400 nt
Filed under: uncultured bacterium
Lineage: Bacteria
Description: bacterial SSU rRNA
Rfam family: Bacterial small subunit ribosomal RNA
Source: RNAcentral